GUUAUACUGUGAUAUUUAAAUGUUCCCUUAAUUCUUUUGAGCAGUGUAUAUAUAAAACUCCCUGGCAAGGUAGGAAUAUUAAAUGUCUCCAAACCUUGGUUAAAUGAAAAAUAAUUGACGAAUGGGGACAGAAUGUGGUUGGAAUAAAUGGGGUUAAAAUAAAUGGUAUGCACACGUAGAGGAUCAAGAGCAGACUUGAAGGAAAUCAAGUUGUUUGUUUGGCCUUAUAAGGCAAGACAUGUUGUAACUCACCCAAGCAAGUUACUCAGGAAUGUUGCCCAGAAAAAGCAAGGCACGGGAAAGACAUUUCUAAGAACCACAGUAUUCCACAGUGUGAUUGAUGUGUAGACUGAGAAGGUAGAGUUUAAUGAAUUAUAAAUGUUAAAACAGGACCUGAGUCGAGGAGGAGUGGUCUACAGAAAUCAUUAACAAUAGUGGGUGUGGAGGGUAGUAGUUUCACUGCACUCAAAUCUGGAGCUUCUUUCAUUUUCAGUGACUUACUUUCAAUGUGAUCUGAUAACAAUCAACUCGGAGACAGCUCAAGAAAAUGUACAACUAAAUCUCUGAAGUACAAUGGGAUAUUUUAACCCAAGUCUAUUGAAACUAAAGAGGAAGCAGUAAACAACUAGCAGCUGUGACCUAAAACUUGAAGAAAAGAGGAUAAUUAAAGGAAAAUAUCAGCAGUAAUCCCCAUACCUGUCUAUCAUUGGUGCGGAUUUUAGGUAAAAUUGAAAGUAGACAAACAUCUCCAGAGCUGCACAGUGAAAUUCAAGCUUAGAGUAGUAUACAUAGCACCGUGUACUCCGUCUGAACCCUGGCGAGUCUCCCCAGAGAUGUCGGCUCAAUCAGAACCAAGGGCUGAUCUUCAACUGGCUGCUGUCACAGGAAAUGAUGAAGAAAAACAGGCCCUAAAUGACACCCCUGGCAUUCAAGUAGACAAUGGCUGUAGCCAUGCCGAUGCCGUUCUCUCAUGUGGCGCUCACAGGGACUUCAGAAAACUAGCCAUCUGCAGCAUUAUCUGUGGAUUUUCCUGCAUCGGCAUUUUUUCUUUGAUAAACUCAGUCAAGGCUAAGGAGACAAGAAAAACGGAUCCAGAAAAAGCUCAGCUCUAUUCCCAAAAGGCAAAAAAAAUUGGGAUAAUUUCAAUUGUGGUGUGGGUGGCCAUUUUGAUACUCAUCCCAGUACUUACAGUACUUGUGUCCUACCUACUGACAUUUAUAGACUGACCAAUUUCCUGGAACCUCCAACAUUAGAAAGAUACAUACAGGACAACUGUCCAACUUCUUCAAGAAACAUUUGUUACAUUUUCUUUAUCCAAUAGUGAGGAGAGUUUUGCCGAAGAAGCACUUGACCGGAUCUGACCACAUGCUGAAGCAGUAAAUGUCCAACAGACGCAGCUUAGAUUGCUGGGCAACACUUCCAAACUUAAAACUGUAAUGGCACUGUGAGGCAGUCAACAACAAAAACUAACCUCCAGAUAGCCCGGCUGAGUAUAAAUCUGAUAGUCUUGCUGCUAUCUACAAAGGCAUGUCUCAUUUGUCUCCCACUAAACAUUCCACUGAAUUUCACAUUCAGUAGUCAAACUGAAGAGGUCAUUAAGAGGCUGUUAUGUGCAAACGGCCAAAAACACAAGUUACUUUGAUACAGAAUUUAAUGGACAAAAUCUCAUUGCUAACAUUCAUGCGUUUAAUACUGAACAAAGCAAAAGGUAAGUCCAGUAUGAACAUAAUACAAAACCUGCAUAAAGGCCUGACUAGAUCUUUUUAAGAAUAGCACACUUUCAGCUGCUUGAUAAUUGCUAUGCAAUUAACUAAAUGGAAAUGUCAAAGGGACAGAUUGUUAACUAGGUAAAAUGAAAUUGGGGCAGUGUUUUUGCUUUAAACUGUGAAAACUGUUAAACCUUUGACUAAAGUUACCAAACCUUUAUAAAACUUAUUUUCGAUUACAUUACUAUUUCUGUUAACUGUUGUUACUUUAUUGUGUUUACACAAGUAGUUCAAAGAAUUUUGUAAUAAAAUUAAUAUACAUUUGCUCAGAUUCCCCCCCUCCCCAUUUACAUUAUUUGAAGUAGCUACAUAUAAUCUUUACUCACUAUGAAGCAACUCUCUAGCUGUAAAAA
Molecule: long non-coding RNA, 2119 nt
Organism: Esox lucius (northern pike)
Lineage: Eukaryota; Metazoa; Chordata; Actinopteri; Esociformes; Esocidae
Exons: 3
Source: RefSeq, a predicted model, not a curated record